CCUACGGGAGGCAGCAGUGGGGGAUAUUGCACAGUGGGGGAAACCCUGAUGCAGCGACGCCGCGUGGGUGAAGAAGCGCCUCGGCGCGUAAAGCCCUGUCAGCAGGGAAGAAAAUGACGGUACCUGAAGAAGAAGCCCCGGCUAACUACGUGCCAGCAGCCGCGGUAAUACGUAGGGGGCAAGCGUUAUCCGGAUUUACUGGGUGUAAAGGGGGCGCAGACGGCGAUGCAAGCCAGGAGUGAAAGCCCGGGGCCCAACCCCGGGACUGCUCUUGGAACUGCGUGACUAGAGUGCAGGAGGGGCAGGCGGAAUUCCUGGUGUAGCGGUGAAAUGCGUAGAUAUCAGGAGGAACACCGGUGGCGAAGGCGGCCUGCUGGACUGCAACUGACGUUGAGGCCCGAAAGCGUGGGGAGCAAACAGGAUUAGAUACCCCAGUAGUC
Molecule: ribosomal RNA, 440 nt
Filed under: uncultured bacterium
Lineage: Bacteria
Description: partial 16S ribosomal RNA
Rfam family: Bacterial small subunit ribosomal RNA
Source: RNAcentral